CUGCGAGGCCUAGGGUAUG
RNAcentral lists this unclassified non-coding RNA (19 nucleotides) under Mus musculus (house mouse). Its description in RNAcentral is "oocyte_clustered_small_RNA9364". Lineage: Eukaryota; Metazoa; Chordata; Mammalia; Rodentia; Muridae. The record is from RNAcentral.